Molecule: ribosomal RNA, 485 nt
Filed under: uncultured bacterium
Lineage: Bacteria
Description: partial 16S ribosomal RNA
Rfam family: Bacterial small subunit ribosomal RNA
Source: RNAcentral
AGUGAACGCUGGCGGCGUGCUUAACACAUGCAAGUCGAACGAGAACGGAAUAUAGCUUGCUAUAUUUGUCAGCUAAGUGGCGCACGGGUGAGUAAUGUAUAGAUAACCUGCCCUUAAGAAAGGAAUAACAGUUGGAAACGACUGCUAAUGCCCUAUAUGCCUUUAAUACAUAAGUAUGCAAGGGAAACGCUUUAGUGCUUAAGGAUGGGUCUGUAUGGUAUCAGCUUGUUGGUGAGGUAAUGGCUCACCAAGGCUAUGACGCCUAACUGGUUUGAGAGGAUGAUCAGUCACACUGGAACUGAGACACGGUCCAGACUCCUACGGGAGGCAGCAGUAGGGAAUAUUGCACAAUGGACGAAAGUCUGAUGCAGCAACGCCGCGUGGAGGAUGACACAUUUCGGUGCGUAAACUCCUUUUAUAUAGGAAGAUAAUGACGGUACUAUAUGAAUAAGCACUGGCUAACUCCGUGCCAGCAGCCGCCGUAA